AUACAUGCAGUCGAGCGGACAGAAGGGAGCUUGCUCCCGGAUGUUAGCGGCGGACGGGUGAGUAACACGUGGGUAACCUGCCUGUAAGACUGGGAUAACUCCGGGAAACCGGAGCUAAUACCGGAUAGUUCCUUGAACCGCAUGGUUCAAGGAUGAAAGACGGUUUCGGCUGUCACUUACAGAUGGACCCGCGGCGCAUUAGCUAGUUGGUGGGGUAAUGGCUCACCAAGGCGACGAUGCGUAGCCGACCUGAGAGGGUGAUCGGCCACACUGGGACUGAGACACGGCCCAGACUCCUACGGGAGGCAGCAGUAGGGAAUCUUCCGCAAUGGACGAAAGUCUGACGGAGCAACGCCGCGUGAGUGAUGAAGGUUUUCGGAUCGUAAAGCUCUGUUGUUAGGGAAGAACAAGUGCGAGAGUAACUGCUCGCACCUUGACGGUACCUAACCAGAAAGCCACGGCUAACUACGUGCCAGCAGCCGCGGUAAUACGUAGGUGGCAAGCGUUGUCCGGAAUUAUUGGGCGUAAAGGGCUCGCAGGCGGUUUCUUAAGUCUGAUGUGAAAGCCCCCGGCUCAACCGGGGAGGGUCAUUGGAAACUGGGAAACUUGAGUGCAGAAGAGGAGAGUGGAAUUCCACGUGUAGCGGUGAAAUGCGUAGAGAUGUGGAGGAACACCAGUGGCGAAGGCGACUCUCUGGUCUGUAACUGACGCUGAGGAGCGAAAGCGUGGGGAGCGAACAGGAUUAGAUACCCUGGUAGUCCACGCCGUAACGAUGAGUGCUAAGUGUUACGGGGUUUCCCGCCCCUUAGUGCUGCAGCUAACGCAUUAAAGCACUCCGCCCUGGGGAGUACGGUCGCAGACUGAAACUCAAGGAUUGGACCGGGGGCCGCCACA
RNAcentral lists this ribosomal RNA (894 nucleotides) under Bacillus pumilus. RNAcentral describes it as "bacterial SSU rRNA". It matches the Rfam family "Bacterial small subunit ribosomal RNA", at positions 51 to 927 of the family's 1533-position model. Lineage: Bacteria; Bacillati; Bacillota; Bacilli; Caryophanales; Bacillaceae. The record is from RNAcentral.